AGUGAACGCUGGCGGUAGGCCUAACACAUGCAAGUCGAACGGCAGCACAGUAAGAGCUUGCUCUUACGGGUGGCGAGUGGCGGACGGGUGAGGAAUACAUCGGAAUCUACUUUUUCGUGGGGGAUAACGUAGGGACACUUACGCUAAUACUGCAUACGACCUACGGGUGAAAGCAGGGGAUCUUCGGACCUUGCGCGAUUGAAUGAGCCGAUGUCGGAUUAGCUAGUUGGCGGGGUAAAGGCCCACCAAGGCGACGAUCCGUAGCUGGUCUGAGAGGAUGAUCAGCCACACUGGAACUGAGACACGGUCCAGACUCCUACGGGAGGCAGCAGUGGGGAAUAUUGGACAAUGGGCGCAAGCCUGAUCCAGACAUGCCGCGUGGGUGAAGAAGGCCUUCGGGUUGUAAAGCCCUUUUGUUGGGAAAGAAAAGCAGCAGGUUAAUACCCCGCUGUUCUGACGGUACCCAAAGAAUAAGCACCGGCUAACUUCGUG
RNAcentral lists this ribosomal RNA (492 nucleotides) under uncultured bacterium. Its description in RNAcentral is "partial 16S ribosomal RNA". It matches the Rfam family "Bacterial small subunit ribosomal RNA", at positions 29 to 507 of the family's 1533-position model. The record is from RNAcentral.